RNAcentral lists this long non-coding RNA (28118 nucleotides) under Selaginella moellendorffii. RNAcentral's name for it is "long non-coding RNA (SMOE_LNC001116)". Lineage: Eukaryota; Viridiplantae; Streptophyta; Lycopodiopsida; Selaginellales; Selaginellaceae. The record is from RNAcentral.
UAGUUUUACCUAUGGUAAUAUAGUAGUAAUUCAAAGUAACUAUGGUAAACUCUAGCAGUUUAAGUAACCUCAAACUUAUUAUGGGGUUGCAACACUCAUAAUGAAGCCAAAUAAAAUAUACCAUUAUUUUAGCACACUAGUAAAUUAAUAUUCCUUCUUGUAUAGUGCUUGAUUCUUCAAUAAAUUGUGGAUUAUAUGAUAUAAUAUAUUUUAGGAAUUUAUGAGUGAGUCUAAAAUCUUAUUUUAAACUAUUUUUUUGUAAUUUCAUUUCAUUCGUAUUAUUUUAUUGCUUAUAUAGAUUCCUUUGUUAAAAUAUUUCCUAUAUAUAAGGGGAUAUUCUUUUGAUACUACCUAGUUAGAAAUGUAGACAUAGUAUGCAUUCUUCUCAUAGAUACAACUAAUAAAGCAUUUAACUAUGCUAUAAAUUGAUAUCAAUUUUAAAAGAAAUAUUAUAAGAUAAAAGAAAUGUUCAAAUAACCAUUUUGCAAAUCCAUAUAAAUAUAAAAAUUUAUAACUCCACUUUAAUGAAUAACUAACUUUCUAUAUUUACAAUUCUACUUCAAUAAAUAACUUAGUUUUCAAACUAAUAUGCAUCUUUUAAAAAUGUUUAUAGUUUUAAUAAUUAUUGUAAUGGAUAAUAUUCUUUAAUACAGAAUCACCUAUAUAUAGGAAUGAGAGAAUGUGUAACAUAAGAAAAAAUGUUAAGACAUACCUUAAUUACUUCCAAAUGAUUUAGGAUAGUAUAUUGUUAGUUUAAAACAUAAUAUAAUAAAGAAUUGUGUAACACACUUUAUCUCUCUCCCCUUAAGUCAACUAGAAAAGGAGUAAUUGCUUGAUGAGAGAGCCCUUAGUGGUUAUUUUAUCCCCAUUUAUCCCCCAAAAUUCCAAGGAUUCAUAAUGACAGUAUAUCCACAUCUCAUCCCAUUGACUAUUGACUAACAACCCUUACUGUGCUAAGGGGAACUAACACCUUCAUUUCCGCACUAAAUUUACUAAUUCUUCCAUUAUGUAAAUCAGAGAUGUCAAUGUCCUUAUUGACUAUUGACUAACAACCCCUACUGACAACACCUCCAAGGGGAACCAACACCUCCAUUUCCACACUGAAUUUACCAAUCCUUCCAUUAUGUAGAUUAGCUAUUUCAUGUGAGGCAACUAAUUAUCCACUCGUACCGUAGUCCCACGGUGAAUACUUUCGUCCGUGGAUACUCCACACAAGAGGAAGACCGUAGUCCCACAGUGGAUACCUUCAUCCGUGGAUACUCCACACAAGAGGAAGGACGUACGUAUGGAUGCCCAAUAUAUACGAUUUCAAAUUUAGGGGUAGGAAUAUACCUUGCUCAAGGGUAUAUUAUAUUUUUAAAUAGCCACUAAUAAAUGGGAAUCAAACCUGUGCCAUUUGCUUCGAUACCAACUGUAACGCACCUUAUUUCUCUUCCCUUAAGCCAACUGGAAAGGGGCAAUUGCUUGAUGAGAGAGCCUUUAGUGGUUAUUUUAUCCCCAUUUAUCCCUCAAGGUUCCAAGGAUCCACGGUGACAGUAUAUCCAAAUCUCAUCCUAUGAUCACAUGCGCUACAGAUUGUUCCGUACCUCACUUAGUCAUGAAUUUUAGCUUUUGGAUGCUCCACAAACAUGCCGAUUCCUCGUGUGCUGGCCUGCCGUUCUCUUGGGGUUCUUGUCCCCCUUUUUUUUUUUUUUUUUUUUUUUUUUUUUUUUUUUUUUUUUUUGUUAAUUUUUUCAGAAUAAAACUCUUUCAUAAUAAGAAAAAAAGUUAUUAUUGAUUUAUAAAGCCCUUGUGUAUAGCCUUUAGAGGAGAGAAGUAUUUUAGGAGUUAUAUAAAAUCAAUUGCUCUAUAAUAAAAACAUAUUUUAGUUAAUCAACUGCUUCUUUGUUUUUUUUUUUUUUUUCUUUUUGAUUCAAUGCCAUUAUGUCAUAGAUUUUAAGAGUAGAUGAGUGGAUUAUGCAGUAGGAGAUUUUUGAGUGAUAAAAGAAGAAUAAUACUUUAUAAGUUCUUGAGAUUCUUUAUUGAAAUGACUCAUAAAUAAAAUAGAAAUAUCAUAAGAGUAAGGUCACUUUUUUUUAUAAAUUUUUUUGGAUUUUUUGUUAUGGUAAACCUAUAUUGAAAGAUUGCAUAUGGGUUGAAUGUGGUUAUCAAAAAGAUUGUUAAUGUCCAGUAAGAAGUCUAUGGUUAUUUCUUUCAUAUUUUAGUUUUUUCCUUCCAUUUACAUAUUUCUCAUAGAUGAAAUUUGAUCAAUAUCAUUUCUCAACAACAAAAGUUUUUACAAGAUUUUAUGAGCCACUAAAAGUAAAAUAUUUUUGCAGAUGUAAAAAUGCACAAUACAAAAGGAUGCCAUAGUCUAAAUUUAUAAAGAGAGCAUUUUUAGUAAUUAAUCCACUAAUAAAAUCUAUUUUAUAGUUGUGAGGUCCAAGUGUAUGGCAACAAUGCUAUAUACUAAUAUUAGCGUAGUGAGAUUUUGGUAGCCGUCAGAUUGGUUUCAAUCCAGACCACUCACUCCUGUAUAUAAAAUAAGGUUUUUGGACUAAUUGAUAUGCACAUUUCCUAUAUUCCUUUUCCAUACUCCAUGCACUCAUAUUGAUGGAAGUGAGGGGCAACUUUAAUUGUCCUUAAGGAGUGCUUGGAUUUGAAAUUUUGGUUUAGAUUUAGCUUUUGCAUUGUUUAAAAUUUAUUUUUUUCCAUUUUCUUUCUUUUAUUCUUUCCUUUUAAGAUUUUGGUUUAAAUUUAGCUUUUGUAUUGUCUAAUCUCUCUUUCCCUCUAGCUCUUUUUAUUUUUUCAUUUCUCUUCUUUUGCUCUUUUUUUUUCAUUCAUCUUCAUGGCAUAGUAAUAAUUUCCUUUUCCUUUGACUCUAAAGUAGCAAUUGGUGCAAUUGCUUAAUGCUAUGCGAUUGCAAUUGAAUAACCAAACUCAAUUAAUGGCAGCAUUUACAGCACGUAGUAUAGUUCAUCUUGCUCUUCGUGCCAAUUUUCACGUUUGGCCAAAGUUCUUUUAUGAGAAUCCUAAGGAUGAUGUGUACUAUUGGUUCAAUCACUUCACAAUGAUUGCCACAUAUCAUUCUUGGGAUGAUGCUUGAUGUUUGCAUGAAUUUCCCAUGUGUUUCUAAGAGACGACACUACAGUGGUACAAUGGUUUGAAUGUAACCACUCAUGGGGAUUGGAAUGUUCUCUUAGACAUUUUCAAAUAUGUAUUCGGACAUGCCGACAAUUGUGAUAAUGCCUUUCAAUAAUUGUAUUGUCUUCGUCAAGGGCCAUUUGAGUCAGUGAUGCAAUUUGGCAUUUGUUUUUAAAGCUUUUUGCUUCGUGUAGAGCCAAAUAUAUCGGAGCAAAUCAAGCUAGGAAUGUUACGUCGCUUCUUCCACUUCUCGCUAUACAUCCUUCAACUCCACUUCCUACAGUUCUAAUGGAGGUUGAUGCUGUUGUUGCUCGAGUCCAGGGACAAGGGCAAGGAUGUGGUUGUGGCUAUGAUGUUCACUAUUAGGCAUGUGAUAAAUUAGUCACACUUAUCGGCAUUAUUAGCAUUUUCUAGAUUGGCAGCCUCCAUUUCUUAGAUGGAAACCUUGGCGUCAACAAUGUCUUGUUGGUGCUGUUACGGUGGAAGGUUUGGACACCGAGAUGCAUCCGAAAAAUGAAAAGUCAUGCGAAUAAUGGAGGGACCUUGCGCAAAUAAGUCAAUGACCCUUCCAUUUUUCUUUCAGGAGUAUCAUUAAGGCAUUCACUUGGCAUUAGUUCAUUCAAUGUUUACUUUCUAAGUUUGUUUUUAUAAUAAAAGAUCUCCUUGGUUGAUACAAAUUUGAGUUUAUCUUUUAUUGCUUGACCUGUUACCACAUGUUGCCGUUUACUCUUGCGUCAUGUGGUAGAGUCAAUUUUCAUUCUUUAUAACAACGGCCAUACACAUGUAUAUGCACGGGAUGAGGUAUAUUUAGUUGUGUGUGUGGGCAAUCUUGAGCUUGGAUUGUAGUCAUUGUGAGUGGUGCUGAGUCAAGCUUUUGACCUCAUCCUUGGUAUAGAUUGAUUGCAGCACAAUUAUGCCAAGUGUGAUUUUGAGACUUCUCCCCUUUGUCUCAUACUUCCUUAUAUUUUAUCCAUUCCUCUCAUUUCCAUACCUUUUUGUCCUUUUGUUUCUACCUCUACUUCCAUUAUUUUUGUUUCCCUAUUACUUCUUCCUAUAUUUCUAUCUUGUUCUACACUUUCCUUUUCCAAUCCCUUAGAUGGUCUUUGUGUUGUAACGGUUGACCAGCUCAUGAGGAAGUAUGCCUAUCUCUUUGAAUUUGAUUUAUCAUCUAGGGCUAAGAUUGCCAAAUGUCAUUCGAUUCCAACUGGGGAUGCUGGUCCAAUCAAAGUUUAUGUUCAUCAUUGGUCACCCAAAGAGAUCAAGGUUUUACAUGCAAAUGUCAAUGAGAUGUUGAAAAAGGGUGUUAUUCGAAAGUCACAAAGUCCUUGGGCAUGUGAACCUUAUCUUGUGACAAAGUUUGAUGGGAGUCUUCGUUUUUGCAUCAACUAUCAUCCAUUAAACAAAGUGACGAUCCUGGAUGUGUAUGUUCUUCCUCACAUUACUGAUCUUUUGGAUCAUUUAGGGAGAAGUCGUUGAUUCACCAAGUUAGAUCUUACUUCUGGGUACUAGCAAGUACCAAUGGCUAAAGAAGAUAUUUCUAAAAUUGCUUUUCUUACAUCGUUUGGUUUGUACAAGUUUUUAGUGAUGCCGUUUGGUUUGAAUAAUGCUCUAAUGACUUCCAGCAGAUGAUAAACAAGGUUCUUUGCAAUAUGCCAGAGGUGAUUGGUUACUUCAUUGAUAAUGUUUUGAUUCACUCGAAAGGACCUGGGAGGAACAUAUUUAUGAUGUUUGUAAAUUGUUGGAUCGGCUAUAAGACAUUGGUUUAAAGUUGAAGUGGUCGAAGUGCAUGUUUGGGUCUAAGGACACGAUUUAUUUUGGGUACCAAAUUUCUCGUGAGGGUUUGCAAGUUAAUCAUGACAAACUUGUAGCUGUUCUAAAGUUCCCUAGUCUGAAGUAUAUGAAUGAUGUGCAGCGCUUCCUAAGCAAGGUGCAGUACCUCAGUCAUUUUGUGAAUUAUCUUUCUGAUCGCACUGCAUUAUUGCGAGCAUUGUUGAAGCCAUCAAUAUAAUUUUUCAUUUGGUCUCUAAAUUGUGAGUGGGCAUUCAUAGAUCUUAAAGAGCUAUUAAUGACUCCUCUGGUUUUGGCAUAUCCUGACUACACUUGACCUUUCAUUUUGCGCGUGGAUGCUUCUGAUAUUAGUCUUGGAAGUGUGUUGAUGCAAGAGAGCCCGAUUAUGCCUGGUCAGUGCCAUCCCAUUAAGUAUAUAAGCUGUACAUUACAACUAGUAGAGGUAAACUAUUCCACGAUAGAGAAGGAGUGUUUAGUAGCAGUUUGGGGUUUUAAAAAACUUCAUGCAUAUCUACAUGGUUUUUAGACAUUACUAAAAGGUGAUCAUGCUACUAUUACUUCAUUAUUGAGUGGAAGAACUUAAUUGGUCAUAUUAUUCAGUGUGCUUUGAAAUUUCAAAUAUAUGAUUUUGAUGUUGUUUAUCACCCGGGGAAUUCUAUAAUUGAUGUUGAUGCCCUUUCUUGAACUCCUCUUCGUUUUUCACUCUUUUAUCAUAUUUCUAAUGAGCUUGUUGUUUUAGCAUUUGUGGAUUUUCUAAACAAAGAUUUUAUGUUGUCAGUGGCUGCUAUACUUAAUGUUUAGUGUUCAUAAGGUGUAGAGCAAGAUCUACCUUCUUUUGACAAAGUUUACGAGGCUCAAAAGAUUGAGUCAUGGAUUCAAAGGCUUCAAAAUGGCUAUUAAAGAGCUAUUAAUGACUCCUUUGGUUUGGCAUAUCCUGAUUACUCUUGACCUUUCAUUUUGCACAUGGAUACUUUUGAUAUUGGUCUUAGAGGUGUGUUGAUGCAAAAGAGCCUAAGUGUGCCUGAUUAGCACUAUCCCAUUUCAUAUAUCAACUUUACAUUACAACUAAUGGAGGUGAACUACUUCACAAUAGAGGAGUGUUAGCAAUAGUUUAGGGUUUUGAAAAACUUCAUGCAUCUACAUAGUUCUUAAACAUUACUAAAAUGUGAUCAUGUUGUAGUUACUUCCUUAUUGAAGUGGAAGGACUUAGUUGGUCAUAUGACUUGGUAAGUUUUGAAGUUUCAAAUAUAUGAUUUUAAUGUUGUUUAUCACCUGGGGAGUUCUAUAGUAGAUACUGAUGCUGUUUCUCAAGCUCCUCUUUCUUCUCCACUCUCUUCUUAUGUUUUUAAUGAGCCUAUUAUUCCAGUAUUUGUGGAAUUUUUGGAUAAGGAUUUCAUGCUGAUGGUGAUUAUUGUACUUGAUGUUCAAUAUCCAUAAAGUGUAGAGCAAGAUUUACCUUUUUUUAACAAGGUUUAUGAGGCUUAAAAGAUUGACUUGUGGAUUUGAUGGCUUUGCGAUGGGUUUGAGAAUUCUAUAUUAUUUGUUAAUGACUUGAUAUUUUGGCAUUUACAUUUUCAAUAUCACCUUAAGGAUGGUCUUUUUUAUUUUGUAGGGAUAGAUCUUGAUUAUCAUUUACAACUGAUGGUGUUUUUGAUCUUUAUUCCACACUUUUUCCAUGCUUACCAUGAUUUUCUUAUUCUAAGUAGGCAUAUAGGACAUCAUUAUAUGACUAAGAAACUGCACAAGUUUUUUUAUUAGCCAAAGAUGCAAUAUGAUGUUAUUCAGUAUAUGUAUAGCUGCAUUUGGUGCCAAACUGGUAAUACUCCCCUUCGUGCUGUAAAAGGAUAAUUGGAGUCAAUUACAAUUUCCCGUCUAUUUGAGUUGGUGGCAUUUGGGACAUUUUCCACGAUCGACUGUUGCCAAUGAGUAUGUUAUUAUUGCUUCUAAUUACUUGACUUAUUAGGUGGAAGUUGAUGCUCUUACUAGCACUUUUACAACUACUGUUGGAUACUUCCUCCUCAAUUGAGUGGUGUUUCAGCAAUCUUGUUCGGAGCAGAUUCUUUCGGAUAAUGGUCCUACAUUUAUGGCUAAGGCAUUUUAUGUUUUGACAUCUUAGUUGGGGAUAUGCCACACUUUCAUGAGUGUUUAUCAUCCACAGUUAGAGAAUUUGGUGGAACGGCUCGUUUGGAUAUUCAAAAGGAUGAUGUGAAUUUUCAAUAUUCGGAUUGGGAUGGUUAUUUGUCGUCUUUUCAAUAUAUAUAUAUCAUAGGUGUGUAGAGUCCUAUUGGUGCUUCACCAUAUAAACUUCUAUAUGGUCAUGAUCCAAUAUUACUAAUGGAAUUGGGUUUAUCUUUGUGAUUGCCACAAGCUGUUGAUGCUAGAUCGUGGAAUUAGUAUUUGAUGAGCAUUCUUCUAUUAAUCUAAGUAGUGUUUACAAAACAUCUAGGUUGCAUAUAAGUAGGACAACAAUAACAUUACAACUCCUGUCAUCAUCCAUUUGCAAAGUAUAAAGUGGAUGAUUUAGUGUUAGUCUAUUUUCUCCAUCUUAUGGUACAUGGUUUAUUUAAGGGGUUCCUUGCUUAAUGGAAAGGACUGUAUCGAGUGUUGCGGCAAGUUAGAUCAUAAGUUUAUGAAGUUCGACAUAACAUACAAUAGGCCAAUCCUCUAAAAAUUAUGCAUAUGCAAUAGUUAAAACAUUUCAUACAAAGGAAUUAAAAACACUUAAUACCACCUAUAGAUCCAUCGAUACCUCUUCUUGAUGUUCCUCUAGAUCUUGGCUCAUCUAUAAGAAAACCUUAAUGGUCCUACAUUAUUUUGAGUGGAAGGGAUGAUGUAAGGUCCAAAUGUAUGGCUAUGAUACCAUAUAUUAAUAUUAGUAUGUGAGAUUUUAGUAAUAUUAAUAUAUUGGGAUUUUAGUAUGAUUUUAAUUUAAACCACUCACUCUUAUAUAUUACUUUCACUAUGUGAAUGCAUAAAAUAUGAAAGGGGAAUACAAGAAAUGUGCUUAUCAAUUAGCCCAAAAACCUUAGUUUAGUAGCAACCAUAAAGGUUCAAAUAUAAUCCCUCUUAAUACAUAUAUUUGGUACCCACCUGCUGACGUGCCUGACACGUGGCGCGCACACGAGAUUCUGAUCGAGAAAUUUGGCUAUGGCUUCCAGUGGCGCUUUGUGCUCCGUUUAAAUCUGGCCCUUGGCGGCGCUCUGGCCGCCUGCCCGUGCGCGGCGAGUGAUGUGAGGCGAUGCAAUAGCGCUUGCCGGGCUUCGCGCAACAAGAGAUAGUAGCUGGUGCUUCCUAGGUCUCGUGGGUCUGCGCGAUCCCUUUCUUUUCUCUCUUUCUUCUCGCGGCUCUAAGUGGAUUUCCAGGACACUAGGGUUGCGAUCGAUCGCUGGGCAUGGCAGCCGAUGUUCUUGGUGGAGGUAUUCUCGAUUUGGGCGAUCGCGGCUGGGCAGCUCAAGCUCCUCCACUGUCACACUCACAGGUAGGCAAGGUAGGCUGUAGCCAGGAAGUGGAAAAAGUAGUGGAUGGCGCCAUUGAAAAAAUUUGGAGGGUGGAAGAUCGCGAUCAAACUCCAGACUCUUCGCGGGAAGAGCCAAAACUAGAUCCAGAGAACCAAGCACAGGUUGAUUUUACCAGUGAACAGUCGCUGCUAGAGAUUUCUUUGCCGAGGAACCUCUCGUCCCCGGACAAGGCUGUGAGGACCAAGGCUCUGGAAGCUCUUGGAAAAUGGCUGGCUUCGUGCUCCAUGGUGGAGGAGCGGUGCCUCGUUAGGAUCUGGCAGAGCAUUUUCUAUUGCAUCUGGUCGACGUCCAAGGCCUUGGAACAGGGUGAGCUGAUAAGAAACGUAGCGACCAUCGUCGGGAGCUUGAGUCCGGACGUGGCCAUCCUCGCGUUCAAGGUGCUGCUCUCGACCAUGAUCGUGGAAUGGAGCGGCAUCGAGAAAAAGAAGCUGGAGAAGUUCCGGCUGCUGCUCCAGAUCUGCUUGAGCCAGAUGUUUGAGGUGCUGGAGAGUCACGGCUGGAGCGAAGAACUCAUCUCCAAGUUCUCCGAGGCUUUUGGCGAGCGGAGCUUGAUGGAGAGCCAGGCACAGGGCGUCAAUCUCUUCUUGGCGCAGGCUUUCGUGGAGGAGCUGCGCAGCCGCAUCCCUCCAUCGUCGGAGGUGCUGAGGAUCCUCCUCGAGCCAUUCGUCGCGGUGUUUGCAACGUCCACGGACAAGACGGUGCUCCAGAGGGUGAGAGACACGGUUUUCCUACAGCUCCUCCAGGAGGCUCGCAAAACAGUGAAGGUAGAGAAUGGUGGCGAGGAGUCAAAGAAGUGCCUGGGAUCUCUUGUCCUCGGUCUUCCACUCGCGGGGAAGUUCUUUGAGCUCUCGGCGGAGCCAUCGUUGGGGGCGAUCAACAAGAAGUUCCUCCAGCAGCUCUGCGAAGACUUUAGCAGAUCGGAGGGAGGCGUCUCCUCGCCGGCGAUGGGGAUGCUCAAGCCGGCCGUGACUCCGCCACCAAAGGUGGUGGUGGCGGAGGAGCUGGCGGAGCCGGCAAGCCUUUCCGUGAAUGGAAGGAAGCGGAAGAGGAUCACCGGCGAGGCGGUAGUGUUCCAGUCGCGAAGAGUCCUGAGAAGCGAGUUAAAGCUUGCGCUCCAGAGCAGCGACAGCGAUCCAGAGGACAGCCCAAGGAGUAGUCCGAGGAGGAGCCCGAGACGAUCGCGGAGCCCGAGCCCGAGCUUAAGUCCGAGACGAGCGUCACCCAGGAGGAGAGGCGGCAGCGACGAGCAGCCCGCACAGUCGGAGAAGGAGGUGGAAUCGACGUCGGUGUCGGGCGACGAAGAUCUAAGCAGUGGAGGAGGAAAGAAGGUCCGGUUUGCGCUCAAGAACAAUCUCGUGUGGUCUCCACGGCGGCCUCUCCCGCCGGCGUGGGUGAGAGUUCCUCCGUGUGCCGCGCCGCGAGGAAGCGCCAUGAAGCCGGGCGUUCUUCCAGGUCCCAUUGCCGAUCCUCCUCCGCCCAAGCAGAGGAGGACGAAGGAGAGGAAGCACAGGGGCAAGAAGAAGGCGCCGGGGGUGGGACCGCCAUCGCCAUCGUCGUCCGGGAAGAAAUCGAAGAAAGCGAGGAAACGGGCGUGAGCUUUGUUAUAUGUUUUGUACAUUCGAAUGAAGAACCCUAAAACACGAAUUCAAAUGUUAGGGCUGACGUGAACGCUAUAAAAACAGAAUUUGAAGAUUUUUUAUCGGGAGGAUUUCUUGAGGCGGAAGAAGAGGCGAUUCGCGAUACCAGUGCCCGCGCAGCGCACGCAGCUGAUCUUUCCCCGGCCUUGGCAUAGCGAGCACUUCUCGAGCGGCGAUCCAGUGAAGAGCCCACCUGAAAAUCAACGCUUGAGAGAUUUGCAAUUCGAGUUUUGCGCGAGCCUGCCUUGUUUGCCGCGGGCCUUGCACAUUAGGCAGAGCUGCAAUCGCCAAUUCAACACAAGGAGAAUCAAAUCCCAGUCGAACAAGAAAAAGGAGAAGAUCACUCAACAUUGUAGCCAGUUCCCAAACAUUCCUUGCAUUUCUUGGGUUUAAUUCGCACCUAGGUAGAAAGCAAGAGAACUCAAUGGGAACAAAGGAAUCCCCUGGCACGAACCAUCGAUAGGAGCCAUCGCGGAUUUCUUGCUAGCGUUGUGGCCGCGAAUUGCAAUGCAAAGAUGGUCGCCAUGACCGCCCAUCCCGGAUCAUCCAUCCCCUGUUCUAAACUUUAGGCUUCUAGCAUUGUAAUUCAUGUUUUGGCCGGAUCGAUUACGCAAAACUCUUCGAAGUUUAUCCUGCUCGAUCGAUUCUUGCUUUGUUCUUGCCUGGAUUGAAGUUCUUCGAUUCACUCACGGCUCUAACAAUUGCAUCCCAGUAUCUGGGAGAUCCGGGCAAGCCAUGGCGCCGCCACCACUCUCUCUCGCACUCAAGCUAAAUCCAUCCUCCCGGCACGACAGCUUCUUCGAUGGCGCAAAGUGGAAGCAAGGAUCACUGGAAACGCUGGGCCAGCAAGGAUCAUCCCGCCAAGGCUUGAGGAAGUACGGAGUUAAUCCCGCCAGGCCCUGGGCCGUAUAGCCAAACGUGGACAUGUGACUCGUCAGCAACACGUCAGCAAGGCUCAGCGACCAAAUGUCCACGAGGGCCCUCUGCUGGUGGUCCACGUCAUCGCGCUGCUCCUCGUCAGCACCCAGCGUCACGAGCUCGAAUCUCUGCCCCGUCUGGGACUCCACGUCGCGCAGGCUCGCGUUGAGCUUGGCGGCGUGCUCGCCCACCAGGGACGCGACGUAGACCGCGAUGUAAUCGUCGCUGGCGAUGGAUUUGUUCUUGGAUUCCAGGAACUCGUCGAUCUCGAUCGGGCAGAGGCCGGAUUUGGAUCGAAUGCAGCGCGGCACCGAUGCGUCGUAGUAGUCGCGGUAGUCGCCCUUGGAUUCGCGGAGCUGGACCGCGAUUCUUCUCGAUGCGCCUCGGAAUUUCACGCUGUGGAGCGACUGGAUGGAUCCCCAGACCUCGUCGCUAGGGUUGAGCAGGAAGCCGGCUAGAUUGUGGAAGACACGGCGCUCCGGGAAGAUCGCCUCGAGGAUUGGGCGCAGGGAUGGAUUGAGGAAGAAUCCCGCCGCGAAGUACUGGUUGCUGUUCCGGAAAUUCAAGACUGGGAUGUUCCUGACCGAUGCCAUGGCGGACGGGCAGACGAGGAAUCGGUGUUCUUCCGGCUUGGUGUUGGCGGAGAAGACGAUCGGGAGGACGGGCUGGGAGCGGCACACGUCGGAUCGAGAGAGGUGGCCGCGGCAGCGCGCAUAGAAAUCCGGGAAAGAGAUGGAUUGAUCGUCCUUGAGGGAGAGGCCGCGCGGGAGCUUCCAGUGUGAAUCGAUGAAGGGCUCGCAGAAGAGGCGAUCCCAGGAGGGAGAUUCUUCGAGGAGGAGGACCCGCUGGGAGAGGAUCGCGUAGAGGAAUGUGGAGACGAGGGACAUGAGCUUGUUGCCCAGGCCGAAGGUACAGCUCCACACGAUGUAGCGGCACUGGCUGGGAUUCGUGAUCUUGGCGGUGUUCUUGGCGAUGAUGUGGUGGAGAUUGUCGUGGUCGCGCGCGACGCAGGCGCUGUGCAUUGUCGAGUAGCGAUCGAGCAGCGCCUGGAGCGCCGGCGAUCGAUCCGUCGCGUACCUAUGAAGCGAUGCUCCAUUCUCACUCUUGAAUUUGCAAGAAUUCCUUGGAGGAGGAUCGCGAUUCUUGGGCGCGGCCAGGAUUUUGAGCUGCUCGUCCAUGGCCGCGAGGAUUUUGCACACGCCGCCCUCGCCCGGGCUGGCGACUGUGGCGCAUGAUCUCAAUCCUCGCCGGAGCUGCUCUGGAAAUGUGGCGUCCAGGGAUUUGCUCCAGUUUUUGGCGCUCGAAUUCCGCGAAUUCGCUGCAUCGCAGGGCGAGAAGACGAGAAUUCCAAUGAAUACUGGCAGCCAGAAUUUCUUGAGAUCCAUGAGAGGGGAAAGAACACUUUUUUUCUACUAGUGUCGGCUGUCAAGAAAUUUUAGGAGUGCCAAGAAUGAUAAUCCCUCACCCUCUAACUGUCCCACCAAGUGAUUCAUGUGAUCCAAAUAAUUAUAAAUUCUUUGGCAUAUCCUUAUUUUGCUUAACUUUAAUUUUUUAGGGUUUAUGCAUGCUUUGGACAAAAAAGUUUUAGUCAAUGCAAAACGAAGUCAAUGACAAUAAAGACUUCCGUUGACUACCAUUGCCUUUGAGCUCAACUCAUUAAGUUGGGCUCAAUUUUGCCGAACAAGUCUUUGAAAGCAAAGCACAAAACUAGUUUGGAACUGGUCAACUUACAAAUGUGCCUGCUACACUGCUAGCCUCCAUCUUCCUUUGGCCCGUCUACGCCUGAUAAUCCGUCUCCCCGCUGGAGUCCUCAUCCUGCGCCAAACAAAACUUGGCUUUGAUCCGCGAGAAAGUGACUGGGUACUUCACUCACCUCACGAGAAAUCCAUGAGUCCUUUUCCGCUUCUUGUUGUUUGGCUGAUAAGUCCUCUUGGGCAUCAUGAUCAUCGAGCUAGGAAUGACAAAUCCGAAAAGAAAAAGAGAUUCUCAAACUAAAACCGAAGAGAAAGAACAGCGAUUACCUCUCGUCGGCAUCCAAGAUCUCGGGGCAUUUCACUGUCACAUUCCAGGCCUAUAGUCUCUACAAUGCAAGUAAUUCUUGAAGCGUACCCUCAUCGUGAGCUGACCAUGGCGCUGGACCGUUUGCAGGCCAGGGCAAAGGCAAUCCCACGGGAAUCAACAGAGCUAGGUCGUCGGAUGGAGCUCCAAACCCCUGCAUUGCAUUCCACGGCGCGUCUGGACUUUGGCGCCCUUGCACUGCCCUCCACACCUGAUGAUCCUCACACAAUGCCGCCCAGCGCCGCCCAAGAAUCUGCCCGCCGCUCCGCCAGGGCGCCGCGCGAUUCAUCACUUGCCGCCAGGCCAUUCUUUCCCCUAUUUUAGGGUUCUUGGAAUUCUAUUUGAUGCAAAGAUCCGUUUCUUCUUUAACUUAUGUACUUUAAUUUUUUAGUAUAUUCUGUUACCCUUUAGGGUUUAUGAUCUUCUAGGCAUGGAAGAGAAUGGCGGAGGAGGAGCGAUGGCGCUGAUGGAAUCCCGGCCCCGGGACCAACAGCAGAAGGAGGAGGGCGAGGAUCGCGAUGGCGAGGGUGAUUUCCUGGCGACGGACGAGGAGCAGAUCCUGGCUCGCGUCGCCGCGAAUCAUCUCUUCCUAGGUCAGUUUGAGGCGUUCCGGGCAGCGAUCAAGACUCUGUCCGACAAGAAUGCGAUGGCCGCGAUCGCAUUGCUGCGGGCCGUGGUGGUUGUCGGUGGCCGCAUGGCAGGUGUUUUGGUGGAAUCGCCAGCGCAGCUCGCAUGGAUGUGUGUUUUGGAGUUGGAAGAACUGGACGGGACUUCCAUCGCCGGCAUCGAGCUCGUCAGGGAAUUGGUGGAAAUGCUCCUCCUGCUGGAGAUGCUAGAAGGGAAAAUCACUCUGGAUGGUGCUGGGAAAAGGGAGAUAGGUGAUGGAACUUUAGGAUCGAGUAGUAGUAGACAGGGCUGUGGUGUCGACGCGACGGGAGAGUGUGUAGAUAGUGAAGCGGCGAGUCGAGUGAUAGACGCGGGGUUUUCGCACGAUAUCACCUUUUUUUUCCUCGGACGAUUGGAGGGGCUGCUUGGUUCUUCGCAGCAGGGCCGUGUAAAUUCUGGUUUUAGCGCAGAGCAGCUGGAGAAGUUGGAGAGCUGGGUCGAGUGUUACACCGUCGCUCAGCCUGAGACGAUGGCUGCGAUUUGUAGAAAUAUUCGAAGACAGAGCGAGCUUGAUGAGGAGUUCCGCGGGGAUGGUUUCGGUUUUAUCUUUCUUCAGCAGGUGCAGCUUGUUCAUUUGAAGCGCAUCAAAGAGUUUGUCGAUCGAGGGGAACUAGAAAAAGGGAUUUCCCACUUGAAGUACCUGGACGAGCGUUGUGGAGUCCCGGAGGCUGACUUCAGGUGAAUCUAUGCAUUGAUUGUAAAUCAUUGUUUGAGUUGUUCUGGUUCUGGCAGCGAAGUUGUAUCGCUACUAGGUGACCGGUGCGUUGUGGCUGACAAGAAAAGGCUGUUCUCCUUGGCUUAUGAAGGCAUUCUUUCUUCUGGUAGCACCCGAUUGCUAAGUGUGUUGGAGGUAAGUCUUCGUGCUAACGCGACUUUCUGGCUCAUCCUCGUCUGGUUUGCUGCUUCCAGGCUUCCCGGGAUAAGCCUAUUCAGGCUGAACAGGAAGUUCAAGGUGUUAUUCCACGUCCAUUUUGGAGUUUGCAUCAGCAACAUGAAGCCUUGCAGCAACAGAAUGUGUCAACGGCCGAGACAGUAUUACGGGAGUUCAUGCGAAACGCUUUUCAUUAUUCUCGGGCGAAAGGAGAGCACGUCCUUGAGACAGCUACUAAGAUUGCUCUGGAUGCCAUCAGGACGUCUCAACUCGAGCUUGCGGCAGAUGUAUGUAUGCUUCCAGCCAUUGUAUCGUUUCUUACUGCAUCCCUCCGCAUUCCUUCGCAUUGCACACAGGUAGACAGACAGAUAGAUUCUAAUAACCUCAUAAGCCUGAGUUUGAUUUGUAUGGGACUGUUUGGGCAGGCUCUUGUAAUAAGUAAUGUGUAUGUGUUUUCCUCUUCAGGUUCUUGUUCCGUUUCCUAGGCUUCGCCCAUUAGUUGCGGCCAUGGGUUGGAACCUCUUGACGUGCAACACAACCGGCCGUCGUAAUAUGAUGGAAACUCUUUGGUAUUCGGAAUCGAAACUCGGUAAAGGCUUUCCUACCUCAGGAAAGCUUGUCCAUGAAGUAAGUUCUCUUCGACCGUGUAAAACGUUUUGCUGAGUUGCAUUCCUUGCAGGUUUCGUGCAUUGAAGACCUGUGUGAUCGACUUUGCUACAACUUGGAAGUGGCGUAUUUUGUAGCACAAGUAAAAUCCGGCUCAAGAAAUGAGUUUGAAGGGCCUCGCUUGCUAAAGAGUGAAUCAACAGUACCGUCGGACAGUUUUGCAGCAAAUCUUGUUCUUGAACGUCUUGCUGAUGAGUCCCCACUUCGUGUAAGUUCAUCCAUUAAAACUCUUGCUAAUGAACGAACAAGCGGGCUGUAGGUUAUCUUCGAUAUGAUACCGAAUCUAAGAUUGCGAGAUGCGGUAAAUUUGUUGAAACUUCAGCCGGUUUCUUCAUCUCUGGAUUUGAUGCAUAGGUAUGACGUCCGAGGUUUUGCGUCAUCUGUUUGCUAACGUUCGGUCUUAAAAGGCAUAAUGAUUUGGAACUUCUAUAUAUGCAUUAUGCUCUUCAGGCUACAGCAGUAGCAAUGAUAGCAGUGACAGCAGAAGAUAAAAUUAAGACGGCGGGCUUGACAUCGUUGAGUGAGCUUCAGCAACAUCUCGAAGCGAUAAAAACUCCAGUCCGCCGAGUAAGUGGAGAAAUGAACUGUGGUGUAUAUUAACUUGUAUUUGUUUUCAGCUCUGGAUGCUCGGUAUGAUCGUCACAUUCCUUCAAAUGGAGGAGGAGCACGUUUUGGAAGACAUGCCUAUUGAGGAGGCUUUACAGUCGCUAGACACUUCUCAACGAUUAAUUGAGGACCGUGAACAACUUGUCAUGCUUUUUGUGAGGCGCACGCUGGAAAUACUGCAUCGCUAUCUCCCUCCCUCGGGUUUCAGUUUGGCUUAUGGGAAAGCCAAACUUGAUCCGGAAUGGAGGGAGUGCUGGGAGAACGAGCGCCUCAAAAUAAGCCGUUUUGUCGAGGACUGGAACUGGCGCUUGCUAGUGGUUGAAAGACUGAUUUUGCGUCCUGAAGAACAACUGUCGUGGAAAUCAGCUCUUGGUAUUCUUCACUCCGCACCUCUUUCACUUCUAAACAUGUAAGUUGCUUGGUUCUUUCUUUCUUUCUUUCUUUUCUUUUGUUUUUUGCUAAUCCUUUCCCAUUCGGGUCUCUAGGUGCAUUUUGAGAUCUGAAUAUGACUUAGCUAAGGAUGCAGUCCAGCGGUACUCGCUUACGCUUGAAAAUAAUGUGCUACUGCAUUUGGCUGAAUGGCUUCAUAAUGCUGCUGGGGAAAAAAAGGUACGGGUUCCGCUUUGACACUUUGGCAUUUGUACUGAACUUUCCUUCAGGGUCCAGAAGAAUUACAACGCUUUACUCGUUCAUUGGCGCCAGAGUCAAGUGUAAGCUGAUAUUUUUUAGAUCCACAUUCGAGUUUAACGAAAUUUCAGUGUGUAACUUGUUUGGAUGUUGCUGCAACGCGCACAUCAUCUAUUGAGACCUCCAUGCUGCUUUUGGAAGAAGUAAGGGUUGAAACACAUUUCUCUGUAAUUCACAUCUCUUUCCAUUUCCAGUCACGAUCGUUGGUAUCUGAGGCCACACAUGAGCAGCAUUUCGUACCACUUUUCAAGCGUGUUCUUCAAAGGUUUUACGAGUUGCUGGAACAGGUCGGGCUCUAUUUCUUUCGCGUGUUUCGUGUGUAACACUUUGCGUUUUUCAGGGACAUAAUCAACCCCUUCCUGUUCUUCUCUCUGGCACUAGUGCUUUUUCUGGCUCCGAAAGCCUGCGCCAGGGAUCAAAGCAGCGGGCCUUGACCAUGUUACAUCAGAUAAUCGAGGAUGCACAUAAUGGGAAAGGCCAGUUCUUAAGUGGUAAGUUCGUUUAAUACCUGUUUGAGCUUGUUUAAUUUUCUUGUGUAGGCAAGCUUCACAACCUUGUAAAGGCCUUAGCGGAUGAGGAGCACGAGGAUCCUGCCUCGAGGCUGUUGUUUUAUCGAAAGCAGCAGGAGAAUGGUUUCGCACUUGGUCUGGGAUUUCGUCCUUUAUUAUUGAGGACACAUGAAACAGCCGGAAGCACUGACGAGGCCUUACAUCAAAGGCCGAUAGGAAGGAGAUAUUUGGGACCGUUGCUGAACAAGCCUAUGGCUUACUUGUCCGCGUUCAUCCUCUAUGUGGCAACCAUUGGAGAUAUUGUCGACGGUGUGGAUACAACUCACGACUUCAACUUUUUCUCGCUUUUGUACGAGAGUCCGGGUGAUGUAAGAAUGUUUCAGAGGAUUUCCAUUUUAAAUUUUCCAUGGAAUUUAUCUAUUUUGCAGUUGCUAACUCGACUAGCAUUUGAGAGGCGCAGCACGGAUGGAGCUGCUAAAGUUGCUGAAGUGAUGGGAAUAGAUCUGGUGCAUCAAGUAAUUUCUGCUUGUGUGUCGCCAGUUCUUCCUCCCAGCGCAUCAACAAUUUCUCAGCACCCAUCCCAUGAGCUGGACUUGGACACCAUUAAGUUCUUGAGUACACUCUCCCCCGUGCGAACUAUCCUGGCAUGUGUAUUUGGUAACAAGGACUCGAAAAUUGGAAAUGAUUUUGCUGUCGAGCAAGCAGAAAGGUAUCCUGUAUUUUGCUAGUCGAUGUUUCUCAUCCGUUCCUUUGCUCACAGGUUUCCUUCAUUGCAAAGAUGGAUUCAAAUGCAAGCGAAUUUGCAAACACUUCGUGACUCAUCUAUUCUGUCANNNNNNNNNNNNNNNNNNNNNNNNNNNNNNNNNNNNNNNNNNNNNNNNNNNNNNNNNNNNNNNNNNNNNNNNNNNNNNNNNNNNNNNNNNNNNNNNNNNNNNNNNNNNNNNNNNNNNNNNNNNNNNNNNNNNNNNNNNNNNNCUGAAGGUGCUGUCAUCAAAGAACAAUCUAUUCCUGCUAAUCACGUUUGGGAAGAUGAAUAUCCAUAUCACGAGGCUGUGGAGAGGUAAGCGUUUAUUUAUACUUUUCUUUGACAUGUCUUUUCUCCUUUCUGUUUCUUCCAAAGCUUAAUCAAGAAUGGGAAGCUUGUAGACGCGUUAACUUUUGCCGAUCGAUGGCUAAAAGCUGGAGCUCCGGACAAACUCUUGCAACUUCUUAUCGAAAGAGGUGAAGAUAGCGUUCCGAGCUCUAGUCAUUUGAGCCUCCACCAUAACUUGUGGAACAGUAGCUGGCAAUACUGUAUACGUCUGAAGGACAAACGCCUAGCAGCGACGCUUGCUCUCAAGUAAGGCAUGUAAUUUGUGUUGUAUAUCUGAAACGCCGGCUUGGCGUUUAGGUACUUGCAUCGUUGGGAGCUGGAUGCGGCUAUCGACGUGUUGACCAUGUGUAGCUGCCAUUUGCCCACUGAUGAUGUUCUUUAUGAAGAGGUAUUAGCAGUUUCGGGUUAUUCUAUCAACGUUGUGUCUAAAUGCUAGUCUUGCAAAGGUCAUUCGGGUUAAAAAGCAUCUGCAACAGUACCGCCAAAUAUUGCGAGAAGACGUCAAGUUUGAGAACUGGCAAGAGGUUUGCGACAUUAUACUUCGCGUCUUGUUAUGACUGUCUUGCCUUCAGGUUGAGUCCUUAUGUGAUAGAGAUCCCGAGGGCCUAGCUUUGAGGCUUGCUGGCAAAGGAGCUGUUACUGCAGCGCUAGAUAUUGCUGAGUCCUUCAAACUUUCAGAUGACUUACGGAGGGAGCUCCAAGGUCGGCAGCUAGUGAAGCUACUUACAGCAGAUCCCAUAAGUGGUGGAGGUCCAGCUGAGGCUAUCAGGUUUCUCGGUUCACUGAACAACCCCGAGGACGCAUUGCCGGUUGCAAUGGCUGCGAUGGAGCAGCUACCAAAUUUGCAUUCUAAACAGCUUCUGGUAACAUUUUGUUGACUUGAACCUUCUUACACUAUUAAAAUUAAACUACCGCAUGCAGGUACACUUUCUUUUGAAACGGCAGAUUGGCGUUCUCUCGGAAGAAGAGCACGACAGGAUGGAUCGACUGGCAUUGGGCCUCAAAAUGCUUGGUGCACUUCCCUUACCUUGGCAACAACGAUGCGUAGGCUUACACGAACAUCCGCAGCUUAUACUAGAGACACUCCUUAUGUGGAAGCAAUUCCAGGCAGCGUCACAGGUAUCCAAUAAUUUUUUGGCUGUAUUUUGGUUAUAACUAUAUCGAGUUUUUGCAGCUUUUGAAUGCUUUUCCAUCGUUGCGCAAUGACAAACUCAUAAUCACAUACGCUUCAAAAGCUGUAUAUGUUGCACCUGCAUCUCCCGAACGGCAAACACAUUAUCUUCCAAUCAAGCCGGCCUCUGGGAACAAAAAUGGCAAUAACCGAAGAUUCACCUGGACACCGAGAGACGCGAGGAAUAAAAUCGAUGGUACCCGAAAGAGAAAAAGUACCCUUCCACCAUCACAGAAGGCCGCUUGGGAAGCUAUGGCUGGGUAUCAGGAGGAUAGACCAAUUGGACUCGGACCGGAAGGUUAUGAGAAGCUUGCACCUCUAACUAUGACAGAUGGAGUUCUCUCUGGUGAUCCUGUCAAAGACGAAGCCGUUCGUAGCUCUCAUAAGUACGACAGUGCACCUAGUUUUGUCUUGUUCAAGGUAGCUAUCGCUGGUUGUUUUGUUUUGUUUUUAUUCUCACUAGCGUUCUGUGCAGGCACUUCUGUCUCUUUGUUUUGAUCAAGCAAGUGCUGCCAAGUCUGCGGUUGAACUGGCCGUUUCUCAAGUCCAGAGUAUUCUCAGUGCAGACUGUUUACCAGCUGGAGCGAGCUCGGAAGCAAUUGAAAGAGCAUUUCAUGCAGCGGGAACUUUUGUCCAGGUACCACUUUCUUGGCUUGUUUCUUCUUCGCCAAUCCUUUUUGCAGGUACUACUGGAUGCUAGAACUCAGCUUCAUAAACUCUUGGGCAACAAAGAAGCACCGAGCCAGGAAAGUCCAGAUACUGUUUCAGAGUCCGGUACUGACAGUCAGUCUGCGACCAGUCUCACGAAACUAUUGUCAGAAGCUGACAUAUGGUUAAACCGGGUGGAACUGCUACACUUUUUACUCGGUUCUGGUGUCACUGCCUCUGUAGGCGAUGUGGCAGACGAAACCUCGGCGCUUCUCCUUCGUGACCGUUUGAUCCAGGAGGAGCGAUAUGGUAUGGCCGUAUACACAUGCACGAAAUGCAAGGUAACUAUUUCUCGGUGCUGCUAGCUUUGUGUGAGACCAAUACUACUGUUCAGAUCGACGUUUUUCCGGUUUGGGAAGCAUGGGGUUACGCACUACUUCGGAUAGAACAUUAUGCGCAAGCCAGGCUAAAGUUCAAGCAAGUAUCUUUUUGUUUGACCAUCUUAUCACUCUAACCUGGCAACUUACAGGAAAGCAUUUCAAUUAUACAAGGAAGAUUCAUCCAAGAUUGUUCAGAGAAUAGUUGACAAUGUGGAGGCAUGCCCUGCUGCUGAUGUCCAUGCUGCACGUUCUCUGUAUGUUGUCAUUCUCUCUCGACUUUGUUAACCUGUUUGCCUGCUAUAGGUACGUUCACAUGGCGAAGAGCGCUUCAAGCUCAUCGGAUGACUCGCUUUCCGCAGACUCAUAUUUGAACGUUCUUUACAUACCAACAUUCACAAGAGCUGAUCGAUCCAGGAGGACUACGGAAGAGGCGUCAGAGCGACUUUCUUAUUUUAAUGCGGACGAGAUUUCGGUUCCUUUGAGCAACUUGGAUAAUGUCCGUUUCGAGGAAUGCAAGUACUACUUGGACGAGGUAACUAUUUCGAUUUACCAGCUGGUAGAUAAUCAACUGUGGCUGGUUGGGCAGUAUGGUCGUUCGCUGCUUCUUGGCUUCAUGUUUCGACAUGGUCGUUAUCGUGAAGCUUGUUCGCUAUUCUUCCCUGUGGGUACUCUUCCUCCAAUUCCUGCAAACUUAUCAUCUGGAAGCGUCACAAGCUUGACAACAGAAUAUGGAACAGUGGACGAUUUAUGUGACUUAUGUGUUGGAUACGGAGCUAUCCCGAUUUUGGAGCAUGUGAUAGAGACUCGGAUUUCUCCUGCUAGCAGCGAAGAUACUCAAGUUUCGCAACAUACAUUUGCAGCACUGACUCGCAUAUGCUUUUAUUUCGAGACACACCGGCAUUUCAACCAUCUUUACCGGUUCCAGGUACCGGUUUCCUGCAUGGUUGAACUUAAACUAAGGGGGAUGGUUGUGCAGGUUUUGAAGAAAGACUACAUUGCAGCCGGUUUGUGCUGCAUCCAGCUCUUUUUAAACUCUGCAACACAAGACCAAGCUCUUCGAAAUCUUGAGCGUGCUAAGGUACGCUUCUUCAUCAAUGGUUUGUGAAUGAUUGUGAGCUUAUUUGAAUGACAGGGUCAUUUUGAGGAAGGGCUCCUUGCUCGUCAGCAAGCGAUUGAGAACGUGAAGUCGGCGGCAAAGGCUUCUCGUGGAAAGAGUCCAUCUGAAAAGCUGACUGACGAGGACUUGAUAAAAUUUUCUGCACGUUUGUCUGUUCAGGUACUGGCUCUUCUGAAACUUCGCGUGGGCCUGACGCUUAUUUCAUCUUGUUUUUCAGAUGGAAGUGGUGAAAUGCUUCAGCGACGCGGACGGCCCUCCAUGGAAACGCUCUCUGUUUGGAAAUCCUAAUGACAACGAUACUUUCAAGUGCGUAUUUCCUUUUACCUCGCGUAGUUUCUCACGAGUGUUCAUCGCGCUCCAGACGAAGGUGCGAAGUGGCUGAGGCGCUUGUGGAGAAAAACUUUGACUUGGCAUUUCAAAUAAUCUAUGACUUCGGACUUCCUGGUGAGUAAUCACUCUUUCAAAAGUCGUGCAUACCAUUGUCUGGCGUUCUGUUUGCAGCUGUCUACAUAUAUGCUGGUGUAGCUGCUGCGUUGGCAGAGAAACGCAAGUACAAUAACUUGGUAGAUCUGCUACGAAACAUCAAAGGAACGAUCGACAACGAGGACCUCGACCAGGUUAUUAUUUCGAAGGAGGUGCUUUGCAGCUAACGCUUUUAUAACGUUCCAGAUAAUUGGAGCGGCCAUUUCGGUCUAUGCCAACAGGCACCGUGAGAGGCCCGACAGGCUUAUUGAGAUGUUGUCGAGUACUCACAGGUGCGUGGCGAGCUCUUUUGCUUUCCUUUUUGGUUAAACAUUUGCCCCUGUGCAGGAAAGUUUUGGCGUGUGUCAUGUGUGGACGUUUGAAAACGGCAUUCCAGAUCGCCUCUCGCAGCAACAACAUUGGAGAUGUUGAAUGGGUUCGGCAACAGGUAAGCAAGCAAGACACUUGCAUGCCAUGUUUUAUCUUCUGUCUUCUUUUCUUUCCAGGCUCGAAUGACUGGCGCAUUGCCAGUCGAAGACAUGUGCAAGCAGUGGCUUGCGCGUGCAUCCUGAUCAUCAGUUUGGCUUUUGUAAGUUUUGGCAUGUAUCAUAUCGACACCGGUUUGUAAAUUCGACACACAAUACUCUCAAUACGCUUUUUCUUUACGAACCUGCAGGGUAUAAAAGAGGUCUAACUAUAGCUCAAAGCCUCAAAAUCUCUAUCAUAGAGCCUCCACGAAGUCCAUGAACAUGGCGGUCUGGUUCUUUUUUAGUUUAACCUGUGGAUCUUUGGCACAAGCAGGCUGACAGCAGCGCUCUUAAUUUUUUACUUGUUACACGACGCAUGGCUCGCUCGCUGGACUGGCAAGAUUUUGAGGAUCUCCACAGUAAGUACAGUAAGUUCUAGUGGCACUUGAGAUUUUUAGAGAAGAGAAAUCGGUAUCGCUACAGUUUCGAUUUACAUAGACAUUUCUUUUCACGUUUGGCAGAUGAUCAUCUUCGCCUCUUUGAAUUUUCGGAGAAGAGACGGGUCGGACACCAUUGCGACGAAAAAGGUUCUUCAACACUCUUCUACUUCUCUUAUUUUUUGCUUUUAUUUUUAUUUUUAUUUUUUUGGAACUACCGGUCAAUCUAUUUCUUACAGGUCAAAAAACGAAUCAAAGAACGAGGAGAAGACAACCAUAUGUUUUAUGUCCGCAGAGCAUCUCCAUCCGAAGCACUGCAGCGAUGGAAACUUGCUAUGGUGGUCAACAAUUCGCAGCUAAGCUUUUCCAGUAUAUAAUCAACCCAUACUUCUCUCUGGAAUGCCAGGGCUUUUCUCUCCAAAGAGGAAAGAAAGAAACCAAGAUCUCUCGAGCUCUCCAUUAGUACACCUUUCAAAGAAGAAAUGGAUCAUAGAAGUUCUUGCAAAACUCUCUUCUGUGAGAUCAUCCUCGUCGCUCUCGCUCUCUUGAUCCUCCCCGCUCGCGCCGCUCAUCACUCCUCCAGUCCCAAAUCGCCCAAGAGGCCCUCCACGUACAAGUUCUUCUGGCACGACACCCUCCAAAACACGACGCAUCCAUGGACGAACACCGCCGCGGAGGUGGCCGGCCCAAACCACAACAUCACCGGCCUGGGAUUCGGCAAAGUCAUCGUCUUCAACGAUUCGCUCACGCUGGCGCCAGCGCUGGAAUCCAAGCUCCUGGGCCGCGGCCAGGGCGUCUACAUCUACGAUCGCACCCAGGCCGGGAUCGCCUUCAACGCGCUGCUCCUCUUCUCGGCGGUGAUCGAGAACGAGGAGUACAAUGGCACGCUCAACUUCAUGGGAGCGGAUCUUAUCCUGGCGCCCAGCAGGGACAUCUCGGUGGUGGGCGGCACUGGCGACUUUGAGAUGGCGCGCGGGAUCGCGAACCUCAUCACGCAUUCCAUCGAUGGCGAUACGUUCAUCGUCAAUGUCACCAGUAGAUUGUACUACCCAAACUAUUGAUUGAUCGAUGCUGCGCACCUGGAUCAUCUUUUUCUUUGUGGACCAACAAUAAGAGAAUUCCGUACGGCUUUACUUGAAGAGAUUGAAAAAGGUGGCAUGGGCCUGGCACUAUACUUUUAAAGUUUGCCUUCUCUCGCAAGAACCCUAUAAUUAGCUUGCCAGCGAGGCUAUCUUGAUCUAUGUGUGAGAAAUCCAUUUAAGUUUUGUUCUUGGUUUCUCAAGACUUGGAUUAUCUUUUUCUUUGUGGAAGAUAGAUUGAUCGAGAUGCUUGGAUCAUCUUUUUCUUUGUGGAAAAAUUGAUGGUGGCGUACACAAAUAAGAAGAAGAGAUUCCCCUGCCUUUAUUCGAAAGAGUGAUUGAGUUGACCAUUCUAAAGUUUCUCUUCUCGGAUUUUUAGAGUUUUUCACGAAUAGUUCUUACGUUAGACCCUUUUCUUGAUACUUACGAAAACCCUAAAAUUAACUUUAAUCUUUGUCGAGGGAUAUGCUUGGCCUAAAUGCCACUUCAUCGGUUCUUCUUUAAACCCUAAACUCCUGUGCUAGGGAGGGGAGAAAGAGCUUGCGGCGAGGUAUGUGAUCUUAGAGCAGCGAGGAGGAUUUUCUAGAGAGGAUCAUGGCGGAGGAGGAGGCUUUCAGUGACGCGCUCGCCUUCCCGGAUGAGCCCCGCAAAGAGAUGAGUAGCGGGCGGAAUGGGAGCUUGAGGAACAGGAAGAAAUGCAAGGAUCGUUCGCUGGACUGGCAACGCGAGGAAGAAGCUGCUCUAGAAAAGGGGGAAAACGGGAGCCAUAGCCUUACAGGAGGAGAAGAGGAUAGUCACUCGGAGAUAAGCGAAAUCGAGCAGGCUUCCGACGAUGAAAUCGUCCAGCCAGAGCGAGAUUCGCGACGAGAAAGCUUGGACGGGAUCGGCGAGCUCGAGCAAGUUCCCAGGCAUGACACCGACGAGACGAGCUCCACAGAGACAUUAGAUGAAGUUGAUGGAGGAGAAAGCCACCACCCCGAGGUGAGCUUAGAACCGAGCGAAAGAGACUCGCUCGAGCAGGUUCCAACGCUUGACACGGACGAAACGAGCUUCACAGAUCGACUAAGAGCUCUUCGUCAAGCUGGAAGUGACCACCAGUCGGAGAUAACCGCAGAAGUGAUUGGAAGCGAAGAACUCGAGCAAGUUUCCAAGCGCGACGCCGGGAUUUUUUACGACGUUAUCCGGCCAGUUUUCAUGGAUUCAGCAGAAGAAGCUGGCGAGAAGCCUCAAGCAGCGAGGCGAGAAGUUUACAAGAUGCCGGACAGUGUCGACAAUGGCAACGAGAGCAGUCUCAUCUUCUGGCCAGCGAAUUUCAUCAUUCUUGCCGUGGCCUGGCAGCUCAAGGUCAUCUUCCUUGCGUGCACCACUGCCGUCUCCACCCUCGGGUUGCUCUAUGCCUUCGUCCUCGACCCGGUACAAAUUACCAGCGCUGCGGGAAAGAACCUCUCGGAGCUUUUCAACUCUCGCGUCAAGCCACUCGCGUCGGACUUCGCUCCACGGCUCGCCAGCUUCGUCCAGAGAUUUGGAUGGGGAGUUUUAGCGGUGACUUACGCCCUGCUCAUGCUCGCCUUCCUCGUCCUGCCCGUGCUACUCGUCGAGUACUUCUACGUGACCAAGUUCGUGGAGGUGCCUCUCGACGUCAAGGCUCCGCUCUACUUCAACUACACCGAGGCUCGCCCCAGCGCAUACUUUAGAUUCAUCUCCGAGGCCGGGACUGGCGAAGAGCUUUCACGGUGGCCGCCAGCAUUCUCCUGGGAUAAGCUCCGCGUCGGGGUGUCGUUAACUCUCCCAGAGUCAGAUUAUAACCGGCAACUUGGAAUGUUCCAGGUGAGAACUCACUCUCUUUUCUUCCUUGCUUUGCUUUCAUUUUCUUUGUUCGACUUCAAGCAUGUCCUUUUUCCGUGAAGGUGGCAGCGGAGAUACUCUCAGCGCGGAACGAAGUCGUCGUCAGAUCCAGUCGCCCGUGCAUGCUCCGCUUUCAAAGCGUCCCGAUACGCUACGCAAGGACGCUCAUCUACUCAGUGCCGGUCCUUCUCGACGUGGCCGGGGAGUACCAAAUCCUGGAGCUGGAAAUGAUAAACCUGAGACGACCGCGCGCGAGUCCCGUGCACGUCGCCAGCGUGAAAGUUUUGCUGGAGCCGAGAGCUGGAUUCGGGCCGGGAUCUGGUCUUCCGGAGCUCUACGCGUCGGAGAUCCAGAUCCGUGCCGACCUGCCGUGGAAAAAGUCGCUGGUUUACAAGUGGAGGAGGACACUCUACGUGUGGAGCGCGACGGUGCUGUUCGUGACCGAGCUUGGCAUCGUCCUGUGCUGCUUCCGCCAGCUGCUCAUCCCGAAGAAAACGAGGCAGCGCCAACUCCAGCACAACAAUUCUUUGGAUCCGCCCUCCACUACAGCGUCCCGAAGAGCGAGAAGUCAAGUGAAGAAGCGCGUUUCGUUCCAGGAAAACUAGACUUUCCAGGUAUGGUUUCGCCUUAAACUUCUCUUUUCUUGCACUUAUUUUCCAGCUUUGUAUGACACGAUCCAGGUGAUAUACAAUCUUUCUCUCGGGUCUGCCUUAUAGUAGGACCGGUCACGAGCAACGAUCGGUACGUUUUUUUAUAUGCUACGAGAGGGAAAAUUUAUACCAUUGAAGAAGCGAGAGAGAUGCGGGAGCAUCGACGUCAGGAUGCAUUUACGAGGGUGAUGCUGAUGUCUGGAGAUCACAAAGAGCAAAAGCACGGAGAGGCGAAAAAAUAAUGGGCGAAACAACGAUCUCGCCAUGGACUUUGUGAGUGAUUACUUCCAUUCAUUCCACUUUUGUUCUAACUCUCUCUGUUCUUCCACUCCAGGAACGCGAAAGUAGGAGGCCGAGCACCGAAAGAAAGGAAAAACUUCGCGAUCAGUUACAACCGCAUCCCCUUAAGUCGUCUGCAAGCUCUGGACAAAUUCUGGGUGGUCUUGGCGGGAUUUGCAGCAUUUCCUUUCGCUCAUCCCGGCCGUCGAAUCCAUCCGACGGCAGCCAGCAGAGCACACUUGUCCUAUAGAGAAGGUGCUGUAAGGUUUUUUUUGUUUUGUUUUUGUUUUUGUGAAUUUUUUUUUUUUCGUGUUUACGUGCUUGCUCUGCAGACAUGGUUGGUGCCAUUGCUGCCUAGCAAGUUGUUCGCCGGUCACCUCAAGAACAGGCUUUUGCUCGCUCCUUUUCUCGGCUCUUCCGACUUUAUUCUAAGUGGAAGAACACUUUGAUCCGGAAGCGCGAGUAAUCUAAUCGCUAGCUCCAAUGCUGCCGCGGAGUUUUCUAUCGAUCCAUCGCGAGAGAGGUGUGUUUGGCGCUUUCGAUAGCUCACGUCUGGCUAGAGUUUUUUUUGGAGAUCAUGGAUAGAAUUCACAAGAGUGUUAUUUACCUGUGGAAUGGAGAGUACAAAUUUUUCUUUUCUUUACACGAGAGCGAGGAGGAGAAACACAAAUGCUGCACGCUCGAGAGAAUCGAGAGUGUUAUUUGGAGGGCGCUAUCCUCUGAUCGAGAGAACCAAGCGAUAGAACCAAAAAGAAAACGUUGACAACGAGAAAACGAGAAAAGGGGAAAAAACUGCUCACAACUUCCACAAACCUGGGGAAAAUGCUGCCUCGCCUACAAACAAUCUUAUGGAGGAAUCGAGAUCGCCAAAUGGAAGGAGGAGGAAGGAAUCCAGCGGAAGGAAAGCGAAGAAGUCCAAGGAAGAACGACGAAGAACUCUUCUCCUCCCCGCUUUUGUGCUGCUGCUACUUAUACUAGACCAGUGAAAAGAAUAAAAAUCCCUCCUUUCGCUCCAAUCCACCCCUCCCCAUUCCAUUUGGGCGAUUCCCUCUUCUCCCAUGCUCCAAUCUAGUAGGUCUUGUAUGGAUCCUCUGCGAGGAGCUGCCUGGUGGUGGCAUCCAUCUUCAAUCCCAGAUCCAUGACGCCCUGCUGCUCCGCGAGGGAGAGAUCAUCCAUCUCCAUCGCCGAAGACAUGGCCCCUGCUCCAAUUCGUGCUCCCUGCGCUGCCAUGGGCAUCGCCGCCGCGAUGACAAUGCCAAUCAGCAGCACCAGCGCUGCGAUCUUCCUGAGAAUCGCCUGCAAUGCCAUCGCGCCGAAGAGAUUUCGCUGCGGGCUGGAAAGAAAUUCUUCCCUCACUCUCUCGCGCAGAGCUCUCUCUCUCUCUCUCCCUGGCGAAAUAGGGUAAGCCCAGGGCCGGGUAUUUAUCUUCUGCAAUUACUCCAC